UGGGGAAUAUUGGACAAUGGGCGAAAGCCUGAUCCAGCCAUGCCGCGUGUGUGAAGAAGGUCUUCGGAUUGUAAAGCACUUUAAGUUGGGAGGAAGGGCAUUAACCUAAUACGUUAGUGUUUUGACGUUACCGACAGAAUAAGCACCGACUAACUCUGUGCCAGCAGCCGCGGUAAUACAGAGGGUGCAAGCGUUAAUUGGAAUUACUGGGCGUAAAGCGCGCGUAGGUGGUUUGUUAAGUUGGAUGUGAAAUCCCCGGGCUCAACCUGGGAACUGCAUUCAAAACUGACUGACUAGAGUAUGGUAGAGGGUGGUGGAAUUUCCUGUGUAGCGGUGAAAUGCGUAGAUAUAGGAAGGAACACCAGUGGCGAAGGCGACCACCUGGACUAAUACUGACACUGAGGUGCGAAAGCGUGGGGAGCAAACA
Molecule: ribosomal RNA, 427 nt
Filed under: uncultured bacterium
Lineage: Bacteria
Description: partial 16S ribosomal RNA
Rfam family: Bacterial small subunit ribosomal RNA
Source: RNAcentral